RNAcentral lists this ribosomal RNA (402 nucleotides) under bacterium. RNAcentral's name for it is "partial 16S ribosomal RNA". It matches the Rfam family "Bacterial small subunit ribosomal RNA", at positions 355 to 776 of the family's 1533-position model. The record is from RNAcentral.
UGGGGAAUUUUGCACAAUGGGGGAAACCCUGAUGCAGCGACGCCGCGUGAUUUAGAAGGCCUUCGGGUUGUAAAAAUCUUUUCUAUGGGAAGAAAAUGACAGUACCAUAGGAAUAAGGACCGGCUAAUUACGUGCCAGCAGCCGCGGUAAUACGUAAGGUCCGAGCGUUGUCCGGAAUCAUUGGGCGUAAAGGGUACGUAGGCGGGUAAGCAAGUUAGAAGUGAAAUCCUAUAGCUCAACUAUAGUAAGCUUUUAAAACUGCUCAUCUUGAGUUAUGGAAGGGAAAGUGGAAUUCCUAGUGUAGCGGUGAAAUGCGCAGAUAUUAGGAGGAAUACCGGUGGCGAAGGCGACUUUCUGGCCAUAACCUGACGCUGAGGUACGAAAGCGUGGGUAGCAAACAGG